Molecule: ribosomal RNA, 305 nt
Filed under: uncultured bacterium
Lineage: Bacteria
Description: bacterial SSU rRNA
Rfam family: Bacterial small subunit ribosomal RNA
Source: RNAcentral
UAUGGCCUACGGGACGCAGCAGUGGGGAAUAUUGCACAAUGGGGGGAAACCCUGAUGCAGCGCCGCUGCGUGAAGGAAGAAGUAUUUCGGUAUGUAAACUUCUAUCAGCAGGGAAGAAAAUGACGGUACCUGACUAAGAAGCCCCGGCUAACUACGUGCCAGCAGCCGCGGUAAUACGUAGGGGGCAAGCGUUAUCCGGAUUUACUGGGUGUAAAGGGAGCGUAGGCGGUGAUGCAAGUCAGAAGUGAAAGCCCGCAGCUCAACUGCGGGACUGCUUUUGAAACUGUAUGACUAGAUUGCAGGAG